This is a long non-coding RNA of Neopsephotus bourkii (Bourke's parrot), 1002 nucleotides long. RefSeq lists it as uncharacterized. The transcript has 3 exons. NCBI's taxonomy places the organism in Eukaryota, Metazoa, Chordata, Aves, Psittaciformes, Psittacidae. The record is from RefSeq and is a predicted model, not a curated record.
GAUAUAGACUAGAAGGGAGAGCACAUUUUGUGUGGUUUAGAGAAUUAAACCUGAUAGGUCAGGAGCUGACCUGAGCUUGGUUUCACAGACCAGGACAGGGAAACAAGCAGUAAUUAGAAUAGGCAUCUUACUUUAUAUUAGUGCUGGGCACCCAGGGAUGCUCCCUGGGCUGUACAUCAGUGUAACACACUUUCCUUACCAAAAGUAGACCUCUCUGUUCUGCUGGUAGCUAAACCAGACCAGUCAUACGAGUGAAGUCCCAGAGAGCAAUGCUCAUUCCAGGACAGGAAUAGAGUUUUAUUUUAAACUCCUUCAAACUGAGAUUAUCUGCAUAUUAUCUGUAUACCAGGAUUAAAGUGUCCAUGUGGGAAGUUACACCAGUACAUCCAGAUGACCUGGAGCUUUCAUCCCAAGGAAACUGAGCUGAGAUUCAGUAUUACUUGGUUUGGGAUGGGAGUGGGGGUGAGCUGGGGAGUGGAUGUUGUUUAUUGCCAGGGGAAGAUGGAUUCUCCAAUAUGGUUUCCUGCAGAAAAGUCCAAGUUUGCAGAAGUUGCAUUUGCAUUUGCCUGCCUGAAAGACCCAUUGCAGUGGGGAACUCCUGGCGAGCUCUGAAGCUCAGUUAUUUCAGGGUGAGCCUAUGUAGAGAUCUCAGUAAUGCAGCCAACUAUUAGCUAAGUUACUGCAGAAUUUGAUCUCUGACAUAUUUCUCUUUAAUAGAAACAGAGGCAUCGGCAGGCUCAGUGGUUAUUUGUGUUCCAGAUAACUCCCUGCCCUUGGUUUGGAGAAACCUUCAUUGUUCCCUUCUGCUCAGGGAAUGAUUUCUUUAAUGCAACAGUCUCUCCUGGAAAGAACAUCUGUGACACCCGUAGGCAGUGCACCAGCAGGUAAAGGGUCCAUCAGUGCAGUCAAUGCAUCUGUGGGGUCCCAGCUGAGAGUCCCAGGGGAUGCUGCAGCUGGUGAAGGGGUUUCCCAGGGUGGAUCAUGCCCUGCUCAGCACCGCUG